UGCGUAGGCGGAUAUAUAAGUCAGCGGUGAAAUCCUGCAGCUUAACUGUAGCGAGCCGUUGAUACUGUGUAUCUUGAGAGUAGAUGAGGUAGGCGGAAUGUGUUGUGUAGCGGUGAAAUGCAUAGAUAUAACACAGAACACCAAUUGCGAAGGCAGCUUACUAAACUAUAUCUGACGCUGAGGCACGAAAGCGUGGGGAUCAAACAGGAUUAGAUACCCUGGUAGUCC
RNAcentral lists this ribosomal RNA (228 nucleotides) under uncultured bacterium. RNAcentral's name for it is "partial 16S ribosomal RNA". It matches the Rfam family "Bacterial small subunit ribosomal RNA", at positions 568 to 796 of the family's 1533-position model. The record is from RNAcentral.